UGGGGAAUAUUGCACAAUGGGGGAAACCCUGAUGCAGCGACGCCGCGUGGAGGAAGAAGGUCUUCGGAUUGUAAACUCCUGUUGUUGGGGAAGAUAAUGACGGUACCCAACAAGGAAGUGACGGCUAACUACGUG
This 135-nucleotide ribosomal RNA is filed under the name uncultured Faecalibacterium sp. Its description in RNAcentral is "partial 16S ribosomal RNA". It matches the Rfam family "Bacterial small subunit ribosomal RNA", at positions 355 to 507 of the family's 1533-position model. The record is from RNAcentral. Lineage: Bacteria; Bacillati; Bacillota; Clostridia; Eubacteriales; Oscillospiraceae.